Molecule: long non-coding RNA, 2080 nt
Organism: Helianthus annuus (common sunflower)
Lineage: Eukaryota; Viridiplantae; Streptophyta; Magnoliopsida; Asterales; Asteraceae
Exons: 3
Source: RefSeq, a predicted model, not a curated record
AGCCAAUAUUAUUACUGAUCGAGAUUCAAGAAGGUUUUGAGGAUUUGGUUUUAUUAGUUAUACAUCAACUGAUGCAGCUAAUAGCGCUCUCUGUUUCCCUGCAUAAAACCCUAAAUCAAAGAGACGAACUCUCAUCCAGAUCUGGAUCAAGAUGUAUUUACAUAUAUUUAUGAGAUUUUGAAAUCCUUAUUAUUGGAAUUUUUUGAUCGAUUGUAGCAUCAGUGGUCGUAUUCUGACAAAAGGCUUCCGGCUACAAAUGGCAGCUCCCGAUGCAUAAAGGCAGUAUUGAGUGUCUGUUUAAUGGUGGAAAUGGAGAAUCUGGCAACCCAGACAGCAAAGCCGACUUAUUUAGGGACCAACUACGUUAAUCCAAUAAGCACGGUUAUCAUGUUCUUUGUUCCAAUUUGCUAGAUCCAGAGUUUAAAUAGUGGUGAUAUUUAUUAUUCUGGUGUUUAUAGGCGUUGGUGUUGACUGGAGGCGGUAGAGGCGUUGCUAUUGACUGGAGGCAUUGGAUCUUGAGUUGGAGUAUUCUUAAUUAUGUUCAUGGUGUGUGAUUCGUGUAGUUCGUGUGUUAUGUAGGUGGGUUUUGCUACAAUAAGUUUAAGAUGAAAACCCCAUAAAUAUUGGUCGAGGGCAUUUAAUCAUGGUUCUUAGGGUUUCGGCAUCAUUGCUGGUCAUGCAACUUCAACCGAUCGAAGCUGGUUAUUGAUUUCAGUCAUUGGGGGAGUUAUCAUGUGUAAAGUUUUAAGUAUUUUCUUCUCAUAUCAAAAACUAGUUCAUUUAUGUGGCUGAAAUUCAUUUAUGCAUACUCAAAUGACCACAACCUUAAUAUUAUAUAGGGAUGAGCAUUUGUUACUUGGUACCGGCAUCGAAUUUCCCGUACCAAUUUUUUUUGGUACUGAAUCGGUACCCACAUUUUGGCAUUUUCCGUUCGGUACCGGUAUUUUACCGGAAUUUACCCUUAAAUACCAAUACCGUACCGAACAUUUUCGGUAUCGGUAUCCAUAUUUGGCGAAAUUCGGUACCAGUGGGAAAUUCGGUACCGGUACCAAGCUCAUCUCUACUAUUAGAUGGUUCAGAUUAUAUGAAUAGUUGAAUACAAUGCAAUUUCUUAUUUUGUAUUAUAUAUUAUUCUAUAAUAUCAACCAACUGUUGGGUUUCUUCCUCUUUUGCAUAAUGUUGAUUAAGAUAAGAUAGUUUCUAUUGUGUCUAACUAUAUUAACCAUAUAAAAACUUUAGUUCUCUUAGUAUUAAACUAAAUAUAUACUGCACCAGCUUGAUUUCUUUACUUUCCAAUGCAAAUUGAUGAAUAUAAGAUUAAUGAUAGUUGAUUGAUUUAAUUUGUUUCAAAUCAAAUUGUCUAUAUUUUAAGGUUAAUGCGAGUAUUGUUUGAUUUCCCAUGUAUGCUUAGUCUAUGGUUAUUGUUUUUAACCAGAGCCCUAAUUUGAUUUUUUUUAGUUUCAUGUGCAGAGUGAUGAAUUUGAUUUGAUUUAAGUGCAUUCUUUGUUUAUUUGAAGAACAUCAACUUCUCCAAGCACACAAGGAACCUUUCUCUGGAAAGUCAAACUAUAUUGUUAUCAGGGCCCUCAUGUAAACUAAUUUUUUUUGCAACACUUAAACAGAUCUUGCCGGCAUCAUCUAAUGUUUUUUGGUCACUUUGUGUUUACGGAACUCUACCAGCAAAUGCUUGCCAAAGCUUUGGCUCAUUACUUUAAAGCCAAGUUGUUACUGCAAGAUGUCACUGAUUUUUCACUCAAGGUCCAAUAUGGAGCAUCCUAUAAGCUCAGGUAGUUUUAAUGUAUGUGAUGGUCCCACCAACUUGGGUCAGUUACUAAUUAAACGUACAGGUAAAUACAUAAGCUACCUCCACCAAUUCGAUUACUUACCAAAUGGGUCGGGUUACAGUUACAGGUCAAAAAUACAUAAUCUUAGUACAUGUCGAAGUCUGUGUCUUUUGCGGAAGUCUUUGUGUCGGUUUCUUUCUAGCUAUAUUCAACAACACCGCUUGCAACUGUUGGCAAAUUUGACCCAUAUAGUUUAAGUUGAUUUAGGUUUAUCCUUAUAUGGUCAGUUCGUAGAA